This 253-nucleotide ribosomal RNA is filed under the name uncultured bacterium. RNAcentral's name for it is "partial 16S ribosomal RNA". It matches the Rfam family "Bacterial small subunit ribosomal RNA", at positions 524 to 776 of the family's 1533-position model. The record is from RNAcentral.
UACAGAGGGGGCAAGCGUUGUCCGGAUUUAUUGGGCGUAAAGAGCGUGUAGGCGGCUAGAUAGGUCCGUUGUGAAAACUCGAGGCUCAACCUCGAGACGUCGAUGGAAACCAUCUGGCUAGAGUCCGGAAGAGGAGAGUGGAAUUCCUGGUGUAGCGGUGAAAUGCGCAGAUAUCAGGAAGAACACCCGUGGCGAAGGCGGCUCUCUGGUACGUGACUGACGCUGAGACGCGAAAGCGUGGGGAGCAAACAGG